UGGGGAAUAUUGGACAAUGGGCGCAAGCCUGAUCCAGCAAUGCCGCGUGUGUGAAGAAGGCCUUCGGGUUGUAAAGCACUUUCAGUAGGGAAGAAAAGCCUGAGGUUAAUACCCUCGAGUCUUGACGUUACCUACAGAAGAAGCACCGGCUAAUUCCGUGCCAGCAGCCGCGGUAAUACGGAAGGUGCUAGCGUUAAUCGGAAUUACUGGGCGUAAAGCGCACGUGGCGGUUGAGUAAGUCGGAUGUGAAAGCCCCGGGCUUAACCUGGGAAUUGCAUUCGAUACUGCCCGACUAGAGUAUGGGAGAGGGUAGCGGAAUUCCGGGUGUAGCGGUGAAAUGCGUAGAUAUCCGGAGGAACAUCAGUGGCGAAGGCGGCUACCUGGGCUAAAACUGACGCUGAGGUACGAAGGCGUGGGGAGCAAACAGGAUUAGAUACCCGCGUAGUCC
Molecule: ribosomal RNA, 448 nt
Filed under: uncultured prokaryote
Description: bacterial SSU rRNA
Rfam family: Bacterial small subunit ribosomal RNA
Source: RNAcentral